AUUGAACGCUGGCGGCAGGCCUAACACAUGCAAGUCGAGCGGAUGAAGGGAGCUUGCUCCUGGAUUCAGCGGCGGACGGGUGAGUAAUGCCUAGGAAUCUGCCUGGUAGUGGGGGAUAACGUCCGGAAACGGGCGCUAAUACCGCAUACGUCCUGAGGGAGAAAGUGGGGGAUCUUCGGACCUCACGCUAUAAGAUGAGCCUAGGUCGGAUUAGCUAGUUGGUGGGGUAAAGGCCUACAAAGGCGACGAUCCGUAACUGGUCUGAGAGGAUGAUCAGUCACACUGGAACUGAGACACGGUCCAGACUCCUACGGGAGGCAGCAGUGGGGAAUAUUGGACAAUGGGCGAAAGCCUGAUCCAGCCAUGCCGCGUGUGUGAAGAAGGUCUUCGGAUUGUAAAGCACUUUAAGUUGGGAGGAAGGGCAGUAAGUUAAUACCUUGCUGUUUUGACGUUACCAACAGAAUAAGCACCGGCUAACUUCGUG
Molecule: ribosomal RNA, 484 nt
Filed under: uncultured bacterium
Lineage: Bacteria
Description: partial 16S ribosomal RNA
Rfam family: Bacterial small subunit ribosomal RNA
Source: RNAcentral